RNAcentral lists this ribosomal RNA (405 nucleotides) under uncultured bacterium. RNAcentral describes it as "partial 16S ribosomal RNA". It matches the Rfam family "Bacterial small subunit ribosomal RNA", at positions 30 to 526 of the family's 1533-position model. The record is from RNAcentral.
AUUGAACGCUAGCGGGAUGCUUUACACAUGCAAGUCGAACGAGGGGCGGACGGGUGAGUAAUAUAUCGGAACGUGCCCCGUAGCGGGGGCUAACUACUCGGAAGAGUGGCCAAUCCCGCAAACUAUUGGAGCGGCCGGUAUCGGAUUAGCUAGUUGGUGGGGUAAAGGCUAACCAGGGUAACGAUCCGUAGCUGGUUUGAGAGGACGACCAGCCACACUGGGACUGAGACACGGCCCAGACUCCUACGGGAGGCAGCAGUGGGGAAGUGUGGACAAUGGGGGAAACCCUGAUCCAGCCAUCCCGCGUGUAUGAGAAGGCCUUCGGGUUGUAAAGUACUUUUGGCAGAGAAGCGGUAUCUGCAGAAUAAGCACCGGCUAACUACGUGCCAGCAGCCGCGGUAAUAC